RNAcentral lists this unclassified non-coding RNA (207 nucleotides) under Hevea brasiliensis (rubber tree). Lineage: Eukaryota; Viridiplantae; Streptophyta; Magnoliopsida; Malpighiales; Euphorbiaceae. The record is from RNAcentral.
UAUUAGAGAGAUUAAGCACUCUCAACCCAUGAAUCCUUCCAAACGCCUCAGGCAAGUACAACAAUCUCCUGUUCGACAAAUCCACCCUCUCCAGACCCUUUCCAGACGCCUCUUGGAGUAUUCCCACAAUCUCUUCGUUCAACUGCUCGUACACUUCCCCCUUAUUUUUCUCAUCCUUCUCCUCCUCUCCCAUCUCCGCCUUCUCAU